Molecule: ribosomal RNA, 441 nt
Filed under: uncultured bacterium
Lineage: Bacteria
Description: partial 16S ribosomal RNA
Rfam family: Bacterial small subunit ribosomal RNA
Source: RNAcentral
CCUACGGGUGGCAGCAGUCGGGAAUAUUGCGCAAUGGAGGAAACUCUGACGCAGUGACGCCGCGUAUAGGAAGAAGGUUUUCGGAUUGUAAACUAUUGUCGUUAGGGAAGAUAAAAGACUGUACCUAAGGAGGAAGCCCCGGCUAACUAUGUGCCAGCAGCCGCGGUAAUACAUAGGGGGCAAGCUUUAGCCGGAAUUAUUGGGUGUAAAGGGAGAGUAGACGGAAGAACAAGUUUGUUGUGAAAUGCCUGGGCUCAACCCGGGCAUUGCAACGAAAACUAUUCUGCUUGAGUCCGCGGAAAGCAGGCGGAAUUCGUCGUGUAGCGGUGAAAUGCUUAGAUAUGACGAAGAACCCCGAUUGCGAAGGCAGCUUGCUGCAGCGGAACUGACGCUGAUGCUCGAAAGCGCGGGUAUCGAACAGGAUUAGAUACCCUAGUAGUC